CACGUAGGGUGCGAGCGUUGUCCGGAAUUAUUGGGCGUAAAGAGCUCGUAGGCGGUGUGUCGCGUCGGCCGUGAAAACCUGCAGCUUAACUGUGGGCUUGCGGUCGAUACGGGCAUCACUGGAGUUCGGCAGGGGAGACUGGAAUUCCUGGUAUAGCGGUGAAAUGCGCAGAUAUCAGGAGGAACACCGGUGGCGAAGGCGGGUCUCUGGGCCGAUACUGACGCUGAGGAGCGAAAGCGUGGGGAGCGAACAGG
This 254-nucleotide ribosomal RNA is filed under the name uncultured bacterium. Its description in RNAcentral is "partial 16S ribosomal RNA". It matches the Rfam family "Bacterial small subunit ribosomal RNA", at positions 524 to 776 of the family's 1533-position model. The record is from RNAcentral.